RNAcentral lists this ribosomal RNA (497 nucleotides) under uncultured bacterium. RNAcentral describes it as "partial 16S ribosomal RNA". It matches the Rfam family "Bacterial small subunit ribosomal RNA", at positions 28 to 507 of the family's 1533-position model. The record is from RNAcentral.
GAUGAACGCUGGCGGCGUGCCUAAUACAUGCAAGUCGAGCGAACAGAUGAGGAGCUUGCUCCUCUGACGUUAGCGGCGGACGGGUGAGUAACACGUGGAUAACCUACCUAUAAGACUGGGAUAACUUCGGGAAACCGGAGCUAAUACCGGAUAAUAUAUUGAACCGCAUGGUUCAAUAGUGAAAGACGGUUUUGCUGUCACUUAUAGAUGGAUCCGCGCCGCAUUAGCUAGUUGGUAAGGUAACGGCUUACCAAGGCAACGAUGCGUAGCCGACCUGAGAGGGUGAUCGGCCACACUGGAACUGAGACACGGUCCAGACUCCUACGGGAGGCAGCAGUAGGGAAUCUUCCGCAAUGGGCGAAAGCCUGACGGAGCAACGCCGCGUGAGUGAUGAAGGUCUUCGGAUUGUAAAACUCUGUUAUUAGGGAAGAACAAAUGUGUAAGUAACUAUGCACGUCUUGACGGUACCUAAUCAGAAAGCCACGGCUAACUACGUG